Long non-coding RNA from Aethina tumida (small hive beetle), 2084 nucleotides. RefSeq lists it as uncharacterized. NCBI's taxonomy places the organism in Eukaryota, Metazoa, Arthropoda, Insecta, Coleoptera, Nitidulidae. The transcript is spliced from 2 exons. The record is from RefSeq and is a predicted model, not a curated record.
UGAUGAAUUUGUGAGCUCCUGCCGCUUCCCUAUCUACGAGUAGAUGUUCGAAAGAUAUUUUACAGUCAGGCGAUACGGUAAACAAUUCCGUAGCCAGCCACAACUCCUCAGAACUGCGCAUUUGAACAGCUAAAUGGUUAUGGUCAUCCCAAAGAACAACAGAAAAAUGGAUGUUGUAACGGGAACCAUCACAACAUCCACCUAUUAGUAACCGGGAAAUUCCUCAUUCAGUUUGGCCCGGCCCGAGAUUAGAAUUGAACCCCGUGAUUGCAAUUGGCAAGUCCAAUCAAAAUACGUAUCGUACUAUUUGGCAUCGGGACGGCUUGCAUAAUGCAAUCAGAAUGACAAGCAGGAAGGUGUUUUAUUUUUGGUGCAGCGCUCGUCGCCUGGCGGUGAUAUUCCGCGUCCCCAAGCGAUCGGUCAGCUGUUCCUGAAUGUCUGCCGCGAAAAUCGACCACAGACCGCUUCACUUCCACAUUUCGCAGACGUGAAUAAACGCGGCUCGGUCCCGGCAGCAUUGUGUUCAGUUUUUUUUUUUUUUAUUUUCAUUCUACCUUUUCUUCUUUCAAUUAGGCCGAAACGUGGCGGGCCGGUGCCAAUUGGAGUGACCGCGAUACAGAACCCAACCGAGUUUACUUUAAUUAUUGCUUCGGUUUUUUUUUUUGAGUAAAGAUAUUCGCGAGUUGGAACGCGUUCAAAAUGUGGAUUCUGGGAGUACGGACAACUGAUAAUUAGUGGUAUUUUUAGGAAUUGGACGGAGAGGAAAUUAUCACGAUAACGGGAACUCGUUGUAUCUUUUUAUUAUAAUGGCUGUAUCUGGUUCUCUUUUACAAUAAUACUUUUUAGGUGGUUGCUUUCGAUGGAUCUAGUGUGCUGGUCGCCUGUUCCGUGCUGUGCUCUUCCGUCGUCGGUUCACUUCUAAUCCUCCUUAUUCUUCUGCCGUUCUUCUUCAUCGCCUUCCUCCAAGGCGUGAUGGACGUCGUGCCAGGAGCGCGUUUACACUGGCCAUACACCUAGUGAAUUCUGUAAAUGCACUAUCUGGUACGACAGUCCGUCGCGUACGUUCUGCGAACCAUGUGGUCUGUUCAUUUCGGUUGUCCGCAUAGAAAGGCUCGUGUGAUUCGUUCACUUUAUUAUUAUUAUUUUCAUUUCAUUCAUUAAGCGUACUUUUCAGAUGGUUCCGUCAGUUUUUUUAUUUUAAGUAUAAUUGCCGACGUCAGCUUCCGUUGUCUCGACAGCGAGCCUUUUUAUUCCUCAACCUUGAUUAUUCGUUUGUUUUGUAAAUGACGUAGACGUUGCUUUGUUAUGAGCCUCAGCCACCUCCUCUUUGUUUUAAGGGGGAAGUAGUCCCCAUUCACAUUAGGGCAUAUCUGCAUGUGGUGUUGAAUAGAUUGCGUCGGUAACUUUCUAACUAGGUUAAAAUUUAAUGUAUCAUGUGUCUGAACUGGCACGGCUGUAGUGUAACCAUAUAAAGUUGAAUAAUGGACCACCUUCAAUAUUGUUUAUCAUUAUUAUAAAUAUUUUAAUUACAUACAAGGGAAUUUGUUGUUUUUUAGCUAUCAAUUUUUCAGAUAUAAUGCCCAGAAUAUUCGGUAAUCAAUCCUUAUGGAAUCUAAAUAUUUUUAAGACUUUAAUUUUAGAAUCAGCAACAUAUUCAGUUUUCUAGUGUUAUUUUUUAUUUGAAUAUUGUAAUUAUUAAAUUAUUGUAAGUGUUUCUACUUAAUGUUUAAUUGCCUUAUAAUUAAAUGAAUUACAUUAUUAGUUUUUAUUAAACAAUUAAUAAAUAUGGUAAAAUAUAAUUACGAAAUUAAUGUUAAUAUUAUAAAUGUGAUUUUUUGUAACUGUAUGUUUCUUCUGUAGUGUUGUAGCAAAAGUAAAACACGCUGGUAAUAAUUUAAUUAAAUCUUAACCAGCUUAAAUAUUUCGCAAACUGUGAGUAAUCAUAAAACUCGAUUACUAAUUAAAUUUACCGUGUAAUCGAAUUUUAUGAUUUUACAAAUUAAUUUAUAAAUACAUACGAGUGUGCAUAAUUAUUUCUGUAAAGUGUUUCAAAUGUAUCAUUUGCAAAUAAAAUGUAUAACAUA